Molecule: ribosomal RNA, 253 nt
Filed under: uncultured bacterium
Lineage: Bacteria
Description: partial 16S ribosomal RNA
Rfam family: Bacterial small subunit ribosomal RNA
Source: RNAcentral
UACGUAGGGUGCGAGCGUUAAUCGGAAUUACUGGGCGUAAAGCGUGCGUAGGUGGUGAGUUAAGUCUGUCGUGAAAGCCCCGGGCUCAACCUGAGAAUGGCGAUGGAUACUGGCUCGCUAGAGUGCGGUAGAGGAGAGUGGAAUUCCCGGUGUAGCAGUGAAAUGCGUAGAGAUCGGGAGGAACAUCAGUUGCGAAGGCGGCUCUCUGGACCAGCACUGACACUGAGGCACGAAAGCGUGGGGAGCAAACAGG